Long non-coding RNA from Dermacentor albipictus, 549 nucleotides. RefSeq lists it as uncharacterized. The record is from RefSeq and is a predicted model, not a curated record. Lineage: Eukaryota; Metazoa; Arthropoda; Arachnida; Ixodida; Ixodidae.
UUAUUCUUUCUCACCUUCUGUCAGCUAACGCAUGCGCAGAGACAACGCAGCCUCGGUGGCGAUGUUCAAAUCGUGGUUCAAAGGUGCUGCAUUGAGCUGUGUGCUGCUGUAACAAAGUGCGCGGGAGUUGAACGUAAGGGAUGUGUGUCAGCGUGCGCUUCGCGCGUGCAAGAUGACUUUUGCGGACCCCUUCGAGCCCUGGAACUGGACAUUGGUUGCCACUUGACUUCUACCGCAUCUCUCGGGCAUGUGGAUGUGAACUGGCUUUCUCCUCAAGGAGCACCGUCAGACCACCACGCGAGUGUGCACUUUGGGCUGCCCAGGCAAGUGUCAAAAUGCACGAGUUUUUCUGUUAAUGGGAGAGACUUGUUUUAGACAUUUUGUUUUUAUUUCUCCAUCAAUUUUAAUGCAGAUGCACAGUAGCGCAUUACGCACAAAUGGUGUUUCUUGCGCCUCUUCGAUUGCUCCGAAUGCCUUAAAAAAAGUGUCACAGAGCAAUUACCUGCGUGAUGUAUUUUUUUAGAAUGCCAAACCUAUAAUGCUCUGCCA